Long non-coding RNA from Cicer arietinum (chickpea), 493 nucleotides. RefSeq lists it as uncharacterized. NCBI's taxonomy places the organism in Eukaryota, Viridiplantae, Streptophyta, Magnoliopsida, Fabales, Fabaceae. The record is from RefSeq and is a predicted model, not a curated record.
UUUUUCUUAGAAUAUGAGAACAAAUAGUUCUCCAAAAAAUAUAUUAUAUAUAGGACAGGAUCGAGUAGUUAUUAGCAUUCAUUGCAGUAAAUCGAGCCUUGGAAUUUUAAAGUUUAAACUGUUCACAGAGUUUUCUUAUUUUUUUCUUGAAAAUGAAAAAUAUCAUGGCUAAUUUUCUCAAAUUGGUUUAUGCUAUGGUUCUUCUUCUUUCCCCUUUUGUUGUUGUAACGAAAGCCUAUAGAUGUAACUUUCCUUUAAUUAUGAGGUGCGAUGAUUUAGGGUGUUUCUGCGCACCAAUGUAACACUCUUAAAUUUAAAAAUAAUGUUUUAUUUAUCGCACUUUACCCUCUUUGACAAACUUAGAAACAUGUUAAUUGUAUUAUUAUGCAAGUUUCGGAUCCUUUGUUCUCUUUUAAAUAAAUGGAGAACAUGAUUAUGACUACAUAAUUGCAAUUACAUUUCAAUAAAUAAAGAAAAUAUAUUUAUGUAAAAA